This 85-nucleotide transfer RNA is filed under the name Felis catus (domestic cat). It matches the Rfam family "tRNA". From Rfam's summary of the family: Transfer RNA (tRNA) molecules are approximately 80 nucleotides in length. Their secondary structure includes four short double-helical elements and three loops (D, anti-codon, and T loops). Further hydrogen bonds mediate the characteristic L-shaped molecular structure. tRNAs have two regions of fundamental functional importance: the anti-codon, which is responsible for specific mRNA codon recognition, and the 3' end, to which the tRNAs corresponding amino acid is attached (by aminoacyl-tRNA synthetases). tRNAs cope with the degeneracy of the genetic code in two manners: having more than one tRNA (with a specific anti-codon) for a particular amino acid; and 'wobble' base-pairing, i.e. permitting non-standard base-pairing at the 3rd anti-codon position. RNAcentral also lists the same sequence under 2 other names. Lineage: Eukaryota; Metazoa; Chordata; Mammalia; Carnivora; Felidae. The record is from Rfam by way of RNAcentral.
GCCUGGGUGGCUCAGUCAGUUGAGCUUUUGACUUCAGCUCAGGUCGUGAUCUCGCGGUCUGUGGGUUCAAACCCCACAUCGGGCU